Long non-coding RNA from Leucoraja erinaceus (little skate), 2503 nucleotides. RefSeq lists it as uncharacterized. The record is from RefSeq and is a predicted model, not a curated record. The transcript is spliced from 3 exons. Lineage: Eukaryota; Metazoa; Chordata; Chondrichthyes; Rajiformes; Rajidae.
AGAAUUUGAAGAUCUUCAUCAGAAAUGCAAAACAGACCUCGAGCAAAAAGUUUCAAAAAUGGAGGAACUCCACAAGAAAACCAGAGAAUUAGGUGAGUUUGCUGUUAAACUCAGAAACAUAUCACGAUGUUGGGAAGAUGCUGGAGUCAAUUAUAUGAAAUAGCGAUACAUUUGGAUAGUAAUAGCAGGAUCGGUCCGAGUCAGCAUGGAUUUACGAAGGGGAAAUCUUGCUUGGCUAAUCUUCUUGAAUUUUUUGAAGAUGUAACUAGGAAAUUGGACAAGGGAGAGCCAGUGGAUGAAGUGUGCCUGGACUUUCAGAAAGCAUUUGAUAAGGUCCCACAUAGGAGAUUAGUGGGUAAAAUUAGGGCACAUGGUAUUGGGGGUAGAGUGCUGACAUGGAUAGAGAAGUGGUUGGCAGACAGGCAACAAAGAGUAGGGAUUAACGGGUCCCUUUCAGAAUGGCAGGCAGUGACUAGUGGGGUGCCGCAAGGCUCGGUGCAGGGACCGCAGCUAUUAACAAUAUACAUCAAUGAUUUGCAUGAAGGGAUUCAAUGUAACAUUAGCAAAUUUGCAGAUGACACAAAGCUGGGUGGCAGUGUGAACUGUGAGGAGGAUACUAUGAGAAUGCAAGGUGACUUGGACAGGUUGGGAGAGUGGGCAAAUGCAUGGCAUAUGAAGUUUAAUGCGGUGAAAUGUGAGGUUAUCCACUUUGGUGAGAAAAACAGGCAGGCAGAUUACUAUCUAAAGGACAUAAAUUGGUAAAAGGGGAAGUACAACUCGGGGUCCUUGUACAUCUGUCUAUGAAAGUAAGCAUGCGGGUGCAGCAGGCAGUGAAGAAAGCGAAUGGGAUGUUGGCCUAUGUAACAAGAGGAAUCGAAUAUAGGAGCAAAGAGAUCCUUCUGCAGUUUUACAGAGCCCUAGUGAGACCAUACCUGGAGUAUUGUGUGCAGUUUUGGCCCCCUAAUUUGAGGAAGGACAUUCUUGCUAUUGAGGGAGUGCAGCGUAGGUUUACAAGGUUAAUUCCCGGGAUGGUGGGACUGUCAUAUGCUGAGAGAAUGGAGCAGCUGUGCUUGUACACUCUGGAGUUUAGAAGGGUGAGAUGGGGAUCUCAUUGAAACGUAUAAGAUUGUUAAGGGCUUUGGCAGGAACCAAGUUCCCGAUGUUGGGGGAAUCCAGAAUCAGGGGCCACCGUUCAGGAGUAAGCCAUUUAGAACGGAGACGAGGAAACACUUUUUCUCACAGAGUGUGGUGAGUCUGUGGAAUUCUCCGCCUCAGGUGAAGAGAGAGCUAGAUAGGGCUCUUAAAUAUAGCGGAGUCAGGGGAUAUGGGGAGAAGGCAGGAACGGGGUACUGAUUGGGGAUGAUCAGCCAUGAUCAAAUUCAAUGGCGGUGCUGGCUCGAAGGGCCAAAUGUCCUAGCCCUGCACCUAUUGUCUAUUGUCUAUUGUCUAUUGACUAUUGUCUAUAGUCUAUUUGUUUCAGUUAACCAUCGGGUAAAAUACAUCGAUAAAACACAGCUUUCUUCACCAUACCCAUGAUAUAUUCGGAAACAAUUGUGGAAAUGUUAAGAGACAUGUUUCAAUGAUGAAACGAUUGUUUGUUUUCUUUCGUGUGGGGAGCACACCGUGAUUACGAUAGCACUGAGGAAAGACAGAUUUGCUAAGUGUUUGUCGAGGGAAUAACGGAGAAUACCUAAGUAAGUAUUCUGUACGCUCUAUUACUGCAGAAAUUAUGUGUUUGGCUCAUGAUUUGAGCAUCCAGCCAUUGCACAUUUGCGUCGUGCUACUAUUUGUGUUAUACGCUAAACUGCUCUUGUUUAUCUACCAAACAAAUAAACAUUUUAUACGCAUAUACUUUUAUAUAUGUUAUAUAUUUUCUCCCGUAUCGCAGAUAAAGCAAAGAAGGGUACGUUUCCAAUUUGGCACGCGUGCAAAAUAGAAACACUGGACAUAACAUUUAUAUAUACAUACACGUGUCAGAAGACUAGAAUGUCACCGAAAACAUUCAUUUAUACACAGGAACAACCUGGUCGAAAUAUCCCCAACUUUUCUUUUCGUAUGUGCAUGGAAAUAUACUAUGACCAGAACUGUACAUCAUUAUGAAAAAAUACAUUCUUAAUUGUUCUUGUUGAAACGAAUUUGCGGCAGUCUUCCCAAUAAUGGACUGGAAAAGUUUAAACUGACUAACUUCAUGCUGUUCUUCAGCUUUCCUGAUUCUUCAUUCAAUAGACGUAGGCAUGACAGAUGUCAACGUAACCAUGCCCAUCAUAAGUAGGGUGAACCUAGAAAAUAAGGACGAACCGUAGGGCACAGCAGAUUAAAACAUAUAUGUAAUAUAUGCAGCAGGUUUAAACAUGUUGAUUAUUAAUACUAUCUGCACACUUUAGUUUCAGCCGGUUCUUCCUCUUCAAUAAUCCUUCAUAUUCUGUGUUUUUCUAUAGCUAGAUAAUAAUGUUCAGUUAUAUAACCAUAUAACAAUAUAACAAUUACAGCACGGAAACAGGCC